This 74-nucleotide transfer RNA is filed under the name Aedes aegypti (yellow fever mosquito). It matches the Rfam family "tRNA". Rfam says of the family: Transfer RNA (tRNA) molecules are approximately 80 nucleotides in length. Their secondary structure includes four short double-helical elements and three loops (D, anti-codon, and T loops). The record is from Rfam by way of RNAcentral. Lineage: Eukaryota; Metazoa; Arthropoda; Insecta; Diptera; Culicidae.
CGUUCUGUAGCUUUGUUGGUUAAAGCACCGGUCUAGCGUAGACGAAGUCGUGAGUUCGAGUCUCACUAAAACGC